CUCAGAGAAACCUUUGAAACGGAGGGUGGGGGUGGGGACCGUGCAAUGGGUGCCAGGGUGAGACAGAAAGUCCUUGUUUCCUGGGAAAGCAUAAUGACAUCACCAACUCGACGGAUGUGAGUUUGAGCAAGCUCCAGGAGUUGGUGAUGGACAGGGAAGCCUGGCGUCUGCAGUCCAUGGUUGCAAAGCGUCAGACAUGACUGAGCAACUGAACUGAACUGAAUGGCCUCAAGGUCCAUCCGUGUUAUUGCAAAUGGCUUAUUCCACCUCCAUAAGAUGAAGGAUGGGGACUAGACUGUCUCAGCUAAAAAAGAGCUCAACAACCCUACACAAGGCACAGCUGCUUUCUAUGAAGUCUGAAAA
This is a long non-coding RNA of Bos taurus (domestic cattle), 363 nucleotides long. The record is from Ensembl. Lineage: Eukaryota; Metazoa; Chordata; Mammalia; Artiodactyla; Bovidae.